This 497-nucleotide ribosomal RNA is filed under the name uncultured bacterium. RNAcentral describes it as "partial 16S ribosomal RNA". It matches the Rfam family "Bacterial small subunit ribosomal RNA", at positions 28 to 507 of the family's 1533-position model. The record is from RNAcentral.
GAUGAACGCUGGCGGCGUGCCUAAUACAUGCAAGUCGAGCGAACAGACGAGGAGCUUGCUCCUCUGACGUUAGCGGCGGACGGGUGAGUAACACGUGGAUAACCUACCUAUAAGACUGGGAUAACUUCGGGAAACCGGAGCUAAUACCGGAUAAUAUAUUGAACCGCAUGGUUCAAUAGUGAAAGACGGUUUUGCUGUCACUUAUAGAUGGAUCCGCGCCGCAUUAGCUAGUUGGUAAGGUAACGGCUUACCAAGGCAACGAUGCGUAGCCGACCUGAGAGGGUGAUCGGCCACACUGGAACUGAGACACGGUCCAGACUCCUACGGGAGGCAGCAGUAGGGUAUCUUCCGCAAUGGGCGAAAGCCUGACGGAGCAACGCCGCGUGAGUGAUGAAGGUCCUCGGAUCGUAAAACUCUGUUAUUAGGGAAGAACAAAUGUGUAAGUAACUAUGCACGUCUUGACGGUACCUAAUCAGAAAGCCACGGCUAACUACGUG